GACCCCUUCGUCUAGCGGUUAGGACACCGGCCUUUCACGCCGGCAACACGGGUUCGAUCCCCGUAGGGGUCACCA
RNAcentral lists this transfer RNA (75 nucleotides) under Alphaproteobacteria bacterium. Its description in RNAcentral is "tRNA-Glu". It matches the Rfam family "tRNA". From Rfam's summary of the family: Transfer RNA (tRNA) molecules are approximately 80 nucleotides in length. Their secondary structure includes four short double-helical elements and three loops (D, anti-codon, and T loops). RNAcentral also lists the same sequence under 1 other name. Lineage: Bacteria; Pseudomonadati; Pseudomonadota; Alphaproteobacteria. The record is from RNAcentral.